UACAGAGGGUGCGAGCGUUAAUCGGAAUUACUGGGCGUAAAGCGUGCGUAGACGGUUAUUUAAGUCGGGUGUGAAAGCCCCGGGCUCAACCUGGGAAUUGCAUUCGAGACUGAAUAGCUAGGGUACGGUAGAGGGAAGCGGAAUUUCCGGUGUAGCGGUGAAAUGCGUAGAUAUCGGAAGGAACAUCGGUGGCGAAGGCGGGACUCUGGGCCGAUACUGACGCUGAGGAGCGAAAGCGUGGGGAGCGAACAGG
This 253-nucleotide ribosomal RNA is filed under the name uncultured bacterium. Its description in RNAcentral is "partial 16S ribosomal RNA". It matches the Rfam family "Bacterial small subunit ribosomal RNA", at positions 524 to 776 of the family's 1533-position model. The record is from RNAcentral.